AACGAACGCUGGCGGCAUGCCUAACACAUGCAAGUCGAACGAGACCUUCGGGUCUAGUGGCGCACGGGUGCGUAACGCGUGGGAACCUGCCCUUAGGUUCGGAAUAACUCCCCGAAAGGGGUGCUAAUACCGGAUAAUGUCUUCGGACCAAAGAUUUAUCGCCUUUGGAUGGGCCCGCGUUGGAUUAGCUAGUUGGUAGGGUAAAAGCCUACCAAGGCGACGAUCCAUAGCUGGUCUGAGAGGAUGAUCAGCCACACUGGGACUGAGACACGGCCCAGACUCCGACGGAAAGCAGCAGUGGGGAAUAUUGGACAAUGGGCGAAAGCCGGAUCCAGCAAUGCAGCGUGAGUGAUGAAGGACUUAGGGUUGUAAAGCUCGUUUACCCGGGAGGAUAAUGACAGUACCGGGAGAAUGAGCUCAGGCUAAGUCCGUG
Molecule: ribosomal RNA, 433 nt
Filed under: uncultured bacterium
Lineage: Bacteria
Description: partial 16S ribosomal RNA
Rfam family: Bacterial small subunit ribosomal RNA
Source: RNAcentral